UACGUAGGGUGCAAGCGUUGUCCGGAAUUAUUGGGCGUAAAGAGCUCGUAGGCGGUCUGUCGCGUCUGCUGUGAAAACUCAGGGCUUAACCCUGAGCUUGCAGUGGGUACGGGCAGACUAGAGUGCGGUAGGGGAGACUGGAAUUCCUGGUGUAGCGGUGAAAUGCGCAGAUAUCAGGAGGAACACCGGUGGCGAAGGCGGGUCUCUGGGCCGUAACUGAC
Molecule: ribosomal RNA, 221 nt
Filed under: uncultured bacterium
Lineage: Bacteria
Description: partial 16S ribosomal RNA
Rfam family: Bacterial small subunit ribosomal RNA
Source: RNAcentral